UACGGAGGAUGCGAGCGUUAUCCGGAUUUAUUGGGUUUAAAGGGUGCGUAGGCGGAGUGCCAAGUCAGCGGUAAAAAUUCGGGGCUCAACCCCGUCGUGCCGUUGAAACUGGCGCCCUUGAGUGGGCGAGAAGUAUGCGGAAUGCGUGGUGUAGCGGUGAAAUGCAUAGAUAUCACGCAGAACCCCGAUUGCGAAGGCAGCAUACCGGCGCCCGACUGACGCUGAAGCGCGAAAGCGUGGGUAUCGAACAGG
This 252-nucleotide ribosomal RNA is filed under the name uncultured bacterium. Its description in RNAcentral is "partial 16S ribosomal RNA". It matches the Rfam family "Bacterial small subunit ribosomal RNA", at positions 524 to 776 of the family's 1533-position model. The record is from RNAcentral.